AGCAGCCGCGGUAAUUCCAGCUCCAAUAGCGUAUAUUAAAGUUGUUGCAGUUAAAAAGCUCGUAGUUGAAUUUCGGGAUCAAUAUGUUGGUCGUGCCUUGGUACGUACUAGUUUAUUGGUUUCUUCCUUCUGACGAACCAUGAUGUCAUUAAUUUGGUGUCUUGGGGAAUCAGGACUGUUACUUUGAAAAAUUAGAGUGUUUAAAGCAGGCUCACGCUUGAAUACAUUAGCAUGGAAUAAUGAAAUAGGACGUUUGAUUCUAUUUUGUUGGUUUCUAGGAUCGACGUAAUGAUUAAUAGGGAUAGUUGGGGGCAUUAGUAUUCAAUUGUCAGAGGUGAAAUUCUUGGAUUUAUUGAAGACUAACUACUGGGAAAGCAUUUGCCAAGGAUGUUUUCAUUAAUCAAGAACGAAAGUUAGGGGAUCGAAGACGAGUCAGAUACCGUCGUAGUC
Molecule: ribosomal RNA, 450 nt
Filed under: uncultured Glomus
Lineage: Eukaryota; Fungi; Glomeromycota; Glomeromycetes; Glomerales; Glomeraceae
Description: SSU rRNA
Rfam family: Eukaryotic small subunit ribosomal RNA
Source: RNAcentral